This is a long non-coding RNA of Oreochromis aureus, 699 nucleotides long. RefSeq lists it as uncharacterized. The transcript has 3 exons. The record is from RefSeq and is a predicted model, not a curated record. Lineage: Eukaryota; Metazoa; Chordata; Actinopteri; Cichliformes; Cichlidae.
AUUUUAUGUGCUCAACACCACACCCUAAAGUGAAGCAAAUCUUUCACACAUCUAAAAGAAUCAGGGGAAUCUGAUCCAGCAAAGACAGCAAAGCAUUCUCCACUCGAUUGUGCCACAAGAUGAAGACAGAAAGGCGCUUCCAUGGUGAUGAUGGCUUGGAAAAGAAAGAUGCAGCGAUUCGUAAACUGAAGGAACAAAAGGAGGAGCUUGAAGAACACAGAGAUCAACUUACACACCAGCUUAAAAAGAUAGAGGCAGAGAAAAAUGAGAACAAGAAGAAGCUUCAACAAGUAGAGGACACAUCAGAAAAAAAAGACCUAUUAAAUGUCAAAUCAAAACUGGAUGACCAGCAGAAAGAUUAUGAAAGUUUUGUGCUCCAUGUGGACCAGCUGCUACAGACAACAGAUACUCUACUUGCAAUAGAGUCUAAGUAGUUGAUAAUGUACUACAAAGAUCAAAUUGAUUUUGUGUUUGAAAGAUGUUUUUAAUCAUGACAUUCUCAUUUCUCAGUUAAUGAAGCUAAAAUGAAGCUUUUUAACAAAAUGAAAUAAUACAAUUAAUAAUUAACUGCAACAUAAGGCAGGUCUUACAGUUGUCUACAAUUUCUUUGCAUGAAAAUGAGUAAAUUUAUGUUGAGAUUGUGUCUGAGAGUCGCACAGUUGUACUUUGUCUGGCUAUUGUAAACAACUCAAUAAAAAG